CCUACGGGAGGCAGCAGUGGGGAAUAUUGGACAAUGGGCGAAAGCCUGAUCCAGCAAUGCCGCGUGAGUGAAGAAGGCCUUCGGGUUGUAAAGCUCUUUUACCCGGGAAGAUAAUGACUGUACCGGGAGAAUAAGCCCCGGCUAACUCCGUGCCAGCAGCCGCGGUAAUACGGAGGGGGCUAGCGUUGUUCGGAAUUACUGGGCGUAAAGCGUACGUAGGCGGCUUUCUAAGUCAGAGGUGAAAUCCCACGACUCAAUCGUGGAACUGCCUUUGAGACUGGAUCGCUUGAAGAUGGGAGAGGUAAGUGGAAUUCCGAGUGUAGAGGUGAAAUUCGUAGAUAUUCGGAAGAACACCAGUGGCGAAGGCGGCUUACUGGACCAUUCUUGACGCUGAGGUACGAAAGCGUGGGGAGCAAACAGGAUUAGAUACCCUGGUAGUCCACGCCGUAAACGAUGAUAACUAGCUGUCGGGGCUCUUAGAGCUUCGGUGGCGCAGCUAACGCAUUAAGUUAUCCGCCUGGGGAGUACGGCGCAGGUUAAACUCAAAGGAAUUGACGG
RNAcentral lists this ribosomal RNA (558 nucleotides) under uncultured bacterium. RNAcentral describes it as "bacterial SSU rRNA". It matches the Rfam family "Bacterial small subunit ribosomal RNA", at positions 338 to 916 of the family's 1533-position model. The record is from RNAcentral.